Bos indicus x Bos taurus (hybrid cattle) is the source of this 107-nucleotide small nuclear RNA. The record is from Ensembl. Lineage: Eukaryota; Metazoa; Chordata; Mammalia; Artiodactyla; Bovidae.
GUGCUCACUUUGGCAGCAAAUGUAAUAAAAUUGUAAUGAUGUAGAAAAGAUUAGCAUGGCCUUUAUUCAAGGAUGACAUGCAAAUUUAUGAAGCAUUCUAUAUUUUU